RNAcentral lists this ribosomal RNA (460 nucleotides) under uncultured bacterium. RNAcentral's name for it is "partial 16S ribosomal RNA". It matches the Rfam family "Bacterial small subunit ribosomal RNA", at positions 338 to 795 of the family's 1533-position model. The record is from RNAcentral.
CCUACGGGAGGCAGCAGUGAGGAAUAUUGGUCAAUGGACGAGAGUCUGAACCAGCCAAGUAGCGUGAAGGAUGACUGCCCUAUGGGUUGUAAACUUCUUUUAUAUGGGAAUAAAAUGUUCCACGUGUGGGAUUUUGUAUGUACCAUAUGAAUAAGGAUCGGCUAACUCCGUGCCAGCAGCCGCGGUAAUACGGAGGAUCCGAGCGUUAUCCGGAUUUAUUGGGUUUAAAGGGAGCGUAGGUGGAUUGUUAAGUCAGUUGUGAAAGUUUGCGGCUCAACCGUAAAAUUGCAGUUGAAACUGGCAGUCUUGAGUACAGUAGAGGUAGGCGGAAUUCGUGGUGUAGCGGUGAAAUGCUUAGAUAUCACGAAGAACUCCGAUUGCGAAGGCAGUUCACUGGACUUCAACUGACACUGAGGCUCGAAAGUGUGGGUAUCAAACAGGAUUAGAUACCCGUGUAGUC